RNAcentral lists this ribosomal RNA (406 nucleotides) under uncultured bacterium. Its description in RNAcentral is "bacterial SSU rRNA". It matches the Rfam family "Bacterial small subunit ribosomal RNA", at positions 30 to 436 of the family's 1533-position model. The record is from RNAcentral.
AUUGAACGCUGGCGGCAUGCCUUACACAUGCAAGUCGAACGGCAGCACGGGAGCAAUCCUGGUGGCGAGUGGCGAACGGGUGAGUAAUAUAUCGGAACGUGCCCAGUAUGGGGGAUAGCCCGGCGAAAGCCGGAUUAAUACCGCAUGAGACCUGAGGGUGAAAGCGGGGGAUCGCAAGACCUCGCGCUAUUGGAGCGGCCGAUAUCAGAUUAGCUAGUUGGUGGGGUAAAGGCCUACCAAGGCAACGAUCUGUAGUUGGUCUGAGAGGACGACCAGCCACACUGGGACUGAGACACGGUCCAGACUCCUACGGGAGGCAGCAGUGGGGAAUUUUGGGACAAUGGGGGGCAACCCUGAUCCAGCAAUGCCGCGUGUGUGAAGAAGGCCUUCGGGUUGUAAGCACUUU